This is an RNA transcript of Esox lucius (northern pike), 2972 nucleotides long. It is a transcript of the gene named interleukin-1 receptor-associated kinase 1 binding protein 1, with no coding region annotated. Lineage: Eukaryota; Metazoa; Chordata; Actinopteri; Esociformes; Esocidae. The transcript has 5 exons. The record is from RefSeq and is a predicted model, not a curated record.
AGCAACAACGGGUUGGUUUGUGUUCUGCAAUGGCUAGCAGUCCGUCCCGAGUCUUUGCGGCUCUUUUACCCCACGCGGGAGAUGUUUACCGGGACGAAAACAUUCUGCGGACCGUUCAACAGACACAGAAGAGCGCGAGGGAAGUCCAUGUGACGGGGAGCGCGGAGAUCUCGUGUUCAGCCGACCGGGCUACGUUUUCUGUUAGCAUCACAAACAGCAAGGAGACGGUGAAUGACGUCACCAACAGCGUCUCGAGGAGAGUGGAGUACGUUCUGCAGACCCUAAGACAACACAAUGUGAAGGAAGACGAAAUGUCAGUGAUGAGACACAUUAAUAGAUCUGAGAACCUGUUCACCAUGGAGACUCAGGUGACUGUAGUGUUCUCAGACUUUGUGAAGAUGCAGAGUGUGUGUGUUGUUCUACUGGAGAAGCUAGGUCAGAGUGUGGAUGUCAGUCAGCCCCGCUACUACCACAGCCAAGAGUGUCUGAGCUUACUGAGGCGACGUGUCUGUGCAGCGGCAGUAGAGAAUGCGCGGCUGAAGGCGUCUGAGGUAUGUGACAUGCUGGGCCAAACACUGGGGCUCCCUCUACUGGUCCGAGAGGAAGAGACCACGGAGAUGAGGACAGAUGAAUGGAGAGAUGGAGGAGUGGAAGGAGGACAGGGGAGGAAAAGGGAGGACGCACGUCAGCCCCGCCUCACCGCCACGUCCCGUGUUUUCGUCAGCUUUAACCUCAGACCCAAAGAACGAAGCAGGGAGAAGCUUUGAGGGUGGGGUUACCCGUCAGGUCUUGCAACACGGCAAACAACACAUUGUUUUUCUCUCAGACCUUCGAUCAAAGCUCAUGUUUAUAAUAACUGAUGUCCAUGCAUUAUGUAAACGAAGACAUUCACGACUCAAAUCUCGGGUCUCUUUAUGAUAAUAAACUGCAAGCGUCCUUCAUUUGGUUCUGAUGCGGCCUUUCACAGUAAGUGGGUCCUGCUGAUUCUCAUUUAGGGUAAUUGAAUUAGCAUCAUUAUAUUUUCAAUGUGUUUGGGUCAAUACAUGGGUUAACUCUGUGUCUUACUGCCCAGAGGGGAUAUUCCAGAAACAUGACUAAGUCCCUGAACAUAUAACUGGAUUCCCGCACCACCCAGAAACCCAGGCCAAAAAUGGGUCCAAGUAAGGUUUAUUUGUAUUAUAACCAGUAUAGAUAGAGAUACAGUUUGAACACUGCUUUCUCUCUCCCUAAUUAGCGGCAUGUUGGCCACUGGUGAGAAACAACUCUUCUGUCAAUCCCUGAUAUAAAGAGGACAAGAGUUAGGACACCACUGUCUGUUCUGGAGACAACCCACCCCAUGUUGCUGGGUGACACCUCGACGUCUGGGAACUCCAGUCCAGGUUCAGGGUGACCUCAUGACCUGUGACCUGGUACGAGGGUGUAGUGAGGAGAGAGUUCACUGGAGUGAUGCUCCCCCACUUUUUACAAUGGUGCUCAAUGGCUGAAGAAAGAAGAAUGAAUUAAUGUUUUAGACCUGCUGAUUAAUAACCAGACUUUUCUAAAUGCAACACAUCAACUAUAAAAGGACACUGUUAUAACUGCCUCUGUAAUAUCUUAGCCAAUGGCACGUAAUAACUGAUUAGAUAAUGUCUUAGCCAAUGGCAUGUAAUCCUGGUAAUGUCUUAGAUAGUGUAUUAAUGGUUAUAUAGUGUGUUAACCUGAACAGGACAUCUUCUCCACCUCUUCUUGACAGAUGUGAUCCAGUCUUUUCUUGAGCUCAGUGAUUUUCCUCUUCAGAUCAUCAAACCCCAGAGAAGAGCUAAUGAGGGGACUGCAUAGGCCUUUGGGAUCAACCAGGUCACCAAGAGACUGGGCAGUCUGCAGAGAGACAGAUAGUCAUGAAUAGAGACAAAAAGAUGUGUAAAUGAAUACAGGGAAAUUUAUGGAGAGACUCAUAGAUACAGACAGAUGGAGAGAUUAAUCGGUUGAAAAGAAUUGAGGAAAUCUCAAUGCAUUUAACUGAAAUCUCUUUCUUCGUGUUGAAUGUAUAAUGGAUCCUUUUUGGUCGAUCACUGUACAAAACACACCUUAAGGUAGCGCAAUUGCGGAUGAGUUGAUGGGGUGAGGAGAGGUGGAUUAGGUAAGGGGAAUUAAUUGAGGGGAUGAGGUGAGAGGAUGAGGUGAGGGGGAUACAUUUGGGGGAUUAGGUGUGGGGGAUGAGAUGAGGGUGUGAGGUGAGAGGAUGAGGUAAAAAGAUAAGGUGAGGGUAUAAGUGGGAAGGAGGAGAUGAUGAGGGACGAGGUGAGAGGAUGAGGUUAUCAUUACUGCAGAAGGGCAGGAAAAUGACCUGGAGGAGGGACAUGUGGUCUUCGGUAUGUGAAAGCUGCUCCAACUCAUCGUCUCUCCUUAACUCUGCUAUCUCCUGCUCCAGUUGCCCCAGGUGUUCUUCAACCCGACUCAAUUCAGCCUUCUCCUGGGCUCUGAUCAUGUCCUUCACCUCAGAGUGUCUUCUCGCCAUGGAGCAGAUCAUCUCAGUAAAGAUCUUCUCACUGUCCUCCACAGCUGCCUGUACUACACACUGUUAGGACCGAAAUAGUAGAGUAAGAGGGAAAUAAGGCAUGUUAAUUGGCAACUUUACAGUGUCAAGGGAAAAUCACAGGAUGAGAAAUCUGGAUUGCAACAAGUAAACAAUUAUUCAAUUUACAGGCAUAUGAACGGAAACCCGCAGGUUAGGUUGAGCAGCUGUAUGAGAGUCACCCACCAGCUUUUAAACCAAACUGAACAAAACUAAAUCUGGAAGUUCCCAGGCCAGUACAGUGCACUUCAGAAAAACUAAAAAUGAACCUUGUUACAGAGAAGCCGCAUAUCCUUAAAUCCGCAAAAGCUGAUUCGUCUAUUUUACCUGUGUAAUAAUUUUUUGAUUGAGAUUUAUGUUUGUUUUUGGGGAUUGACUUUGGAUAGAUAAUGUUUUGAGUAAAAUGUACUACUAUUGA